UAGGGAAUCUUCCACAAUGGGCGAAAGCCUGAUGGAGCAACGCCGCGUGGGUGAAGAAGGUCUUCGGAUCGUAAAACCCUGUUGUUAGAGAAGAAAGUGCGUGAGAGUAACUGUUCACGUUUCGACGGUAUCUAACCAGAAAGCCACGGCUAACUACGUGCCAGCAGCCGCGGUAAUACGUAGGUGGCAAGCGUUAUCCGGAUUUAUUGGGCGUAAAGGGAACGCAGGCGGUCUUUUAAGUCUGAUGUGAAAGCCUUCGGCUUAACCGGAGUAGUGCAUUGGAAACUGGGAGACUUGAGUGCA
RNAcentral lists this ribosomal RNA (303 nucleotides) under uncultured bacterium. Its description in RNAcentral is "bacterial SSU rRNA". It matches the Rfam family "Bacterial small subunit ribosomal RNA", at positions 355 to 650 of the family's 1533-position model. The record is from RNAcentral.